Molecule: long non-coding RNA, 4938 nt
Organism: Brassica napus (rape)
Lineage: Eukaryota; Viridiplantae; Streptophyta; Magnoliopsida; Brassicales; Brassicaceae
Exons: 3
Source: RefSeq, a predicted model, not a curated record
CGCUGUCACUCACUUUUUCUUUUCUUCUAGUGUAUAGAUGUAACAAACUGGCUCAUUUUUGACGAACUGGAUAGCUAAUCCACAAAUUUCGAAAUUAAGUUCAGCCAAACUUUAUAAUCGAAUUAGAUUAUAUUACCGUCGCAUGGCGCGGAUCUUAAAUUUGUAUUCUUUAACCCACAAACUUUAUAAUCUAAUUACUCAUAAAGUACAUCCAGACCAGUAUGUUUGCUAUUUUAGUCUACCUCACCUGAACAAUGCUAGAUAUACUUGUGAUAAUUGUUACUCCCCUUUUCAGAAUAAUUAGAUUAUAAAGUUUUUGCACACAAUUAAAGAAUACAAAUUUUUAUUUAGUCUAUUUCGUUGUCUAAAAAUAAUAAUAACUAGCUAAUUUAAUCAAUAAAAAUCAUAUUGCAUAAUACAAAUGGUCUUAAACAUCAAACUGCAUUUACUUUUUUACAUUGAAACUAUACAUCAUCUAAACUGAAACAAAUAAUUGCUAAAACGCCAACUUAAAGUGACAGAAUAAGUACAUGUUUCUUGUUUGUACAUCGUUUAGAUAGAUAAAUGUAGCUUUGAACAUUAACAAUAUGGGGUGGUGGUGCAUUUGGCUAGCACGUAGGUCUCAUAGCUACUGAGUGAUCCUGAGGUCGAGAGUUCGAGCCUCUCUAACCCCAUAAUUUAUUCAUUUAAUGUUUUACUAGGGCUUAAUGGGCCUUCUGUUAUCUAUAAAACCCAAAACCCAUCUCUUUUUAUCAUGGAGCCGCCACUCGUGUUUGAUUAAAUUGCCAUGUCCAUUCUUGUCACAAAAACGCGUGACAUUCGUUCCGUUAACAAUGUAUAGAUUAUUCAAUAAGUUGUAGAUUUGGCUGCCUGUGAAUAAUGAUUCUAUAUAUAUAUAUACUUUUAGUAAAAUGUUAAAUUUAUACCAUCUAAUAACAUAAAGAAGGGUUUCAUCACUCCUGGUGAAGCCACGUAGGCGGACACAUCAUAAAAUCGGCUCCUGUAAGCUUGACACGUGUCACAGACCAUGAAACUCAUCGUUUCAUUAAGUCAAGUCUGCAAUACAUAUGGGUUUCGUUGUGUUUUGGGCUUAUAUUGUCCUCCAAAAACUCAAUCUAACUGCGAGAAACACUAAGACGCUUAAACAACUUCGUUUUGGGAAUAUAAGAUUAGUCUCUCUCUUCGUCUUCAACAAUUAUUUUCCCUUUUUAGGUUCAUGUUAUUCUUCCAAUUCUGUUCAUAAUCCGUCCAUGGAGUUUCUAUAAAGUGAAUGGGAGAUGACUUUUAACAGCGAAUCUUUUGAGUGAAUGUUUGUUCGUGUCGUUUGGACUUUCGUUUGUGUCGUUUGGACUGAAUAUCUUUAAGCCAUGUAAGCGAAAUUGAUGUUGGUGUCGUUUGGAGUGACUUGAUGUUCCUCUCAUCAAUGAACAUCUUAACUCCUUUAUCCCACUAAUGAUUCCUCAUUGAAUUCAAUGCAUCUCCCUUCACUUUCAGUCGGUGAAUCUCCGUGUAUAAAAAUGUGAUCUUCAUUCCAUGAACAUCAUCCUUCCAUUCCUUGCUUAAUUAAGCAAGACCUUUGCAUAGUACCUGAUAUUGAUAAACGUUACCGACAAAGGUGAGCUCUAUCUUCUUUCUAUGUGAAUCUCUGGUUCUUAUUUGGUUCCACUUACUCUGCUCGAUCUUACUAGAUGUGUAGAUAUGAUUGCUAAUCCUGAAGUGGCUAAUGUGUCCAGCAAAAGAAAAAAAGUAGGUGAUCAUAUUCAAAUUUUCAUUUGAGCAUCCAGUUAAUUUUGUGCAUUAUCCUAGGUUUAGUAACCUAAAUAUUUCCAGCCGAGCCAUGAUGCAUAACUUAUGUGCUAUAAUCAGCUCCUUAACGUUUACCAAAAGAACAGUAAUAUAAAAUAAUUUGAAGAAACACUUGAUGUCAGAGAACAGAAACACUUGAAGUUCUUGGUGUUUUUUUCAAUUUUGAUUUCCUAGCUUUCAUGUGAUCUUUGUUUUUUUUUUUUUUUUUUGCAGGAAGAGCACGACUACUGCAAUUCAUGUGAGGAUCACAUGGUGUUUUUCACGCAUAUAUAAAGAAACGUUGGGAGUGUUACGAAUCCAGAUUUGAUUGACUAAGUGAGGCUCAUGCGAUCUUCUUGAAGGAUAUGGACUAGUCUGUGAUUGAUACGGUGACAUAUUGAACAUGUGAAUGAAUUAGAACAAUAUCUAAGUCUGAGAGUGGAGGUGGCAAAUGUGGCGAUGGAGUCGUUGCAAAAAGUACGGGAGGGAAGUAAGAAAGCAACAAUGCAGCUGGUGGACAUAGAGUACAAUAUUGUUGAUUUCUUCUUGAAGCUUCUCCAGCUCUAAGAAUACCGACUUUUUUUCUUGGUUGUGGUUGGUACCUGGAGGUACCGACACCAAAGAGAUCUUUAGGUUGUGAUUUUACGAGGUAAUCUACGCUGGAAGACAUCAUACCGUGUCGAUUUAUUUAAAACAUCACAAAGUUUUAUCUGCUGACUCUUUGUUUGUGUUUGUUUUUGGCCUUCACCUUAUAUAGUUAGUUAUAUGAAUGAGCUCUUCACAUGUCGACUAUAUUUGUUUAGUUAUGUAGAUUUCUUUACUCUUUUAGUGUUAUUAAAUCCUUUGAUUAUUUAUUUACCAAAAACCUCUUUAUUCGAACUGAAAUGAACGAAAAGGUCAUCUACUCAAUCCCUCAUGGAAGCUAUUUAUAAAGCAUCAAACCAUUUAAUUAGAAAAAAAACAGCGACAACUCUAAUGGCUCCGGGAAGUGUCCGAUAUAAACAAAGAUUUCAUUAUACUAAGAAGGUAUAAAAUAACGAAGAAACCUUUUAAAAAUAAAAUUGAGGAGUGCUUUGAGGAACUCAAGUAACAAAAACAUAGUUAAUUUUUCAAAAUGAUGAAAGCUUUGAGAGCUAUUGCCUUCACUAAAUCAUUAUGAAGUCAUUUCUCUAUCCAGUAAGAUCGUGUCUUGAGAUGGGCGCAGAUUUGACAUUUAACUUUUCUGUUUGAAACAAAAAAAUCCAUUCACAAUAUGACUCCUACAAAAAGAAUAAAAUCUUAUCGAAGAGAAAAUAUCUAAAUGCUUUUGAAUUAAGAAAAACUAAUCCAAUUAUAUAUAAAAAUUAUGUCUCAUCUCAUUCAUGAGUAAUACACUUAGGUUUAGUAUAAAAAUUAACUAAAAUAUAUUCCAUAUUAUUUAAAUUUAUUUAUGACUAAUAGGUCCACAAUAUUUCAAAAUAUUUUAAAGUGUUUGACCUUCAGACUUCAGUAGAUCUAUUAAAAAUUGUACGUAUAUCAAAAUAAAAUAUUGAUGGUUAAAUGUGUCUAUAAAUAGGCUGUAAAUAUCAAGCUAAGCUUAACCAUUUAAACAGAAAAUCAAACAUUUAAUAUCCUACAGCCAAACAAAAUAUUGAUCAAAUUAAAUCAAAAUAUAAAUUUUGUUAAUAUGUUUUAAUCACUCCAAAUUAGUUUAGAAGCAAAUCUUUGUAAAAAUAUCCAACACACAUAUAAAUUAAUAAAUACUAAACAUUAAAUCUGUGUAGUAAAAUGUCUAUUAGGAUAUCUUAUAAACCUUUAAGCCUUUAUCACCACUAAGAGCAAUAUAUAUAGAAACUCUAAGUCAAACUAAAAAAAAAAUUAAUGUAAAAAUAUUAGUAAAAAGUUAUAGAUAAGGAUUUUAAGAUAAUAAAUAAAUAUGAUCGUUUAAUUUUAGAAUGGUUUAUGUUAAUUUGUACCGAGUUAAGCUGAGAAAUCCUACAGUCUUAAGAUAUUUAGCUCAAAAAUCAUAUAUUACUGUUUCGUUUAUAUAGAUUGGUUUAGGUGUGUGUUUAUGGUUAAGUGGACUUUGGUCCUGAUUAAUUUUUUAAAAAAUAAAUUAAGAAUAAUAUAAGAAUUAUUUAGUAAAAUAUGUUAAUAGCUUCAGAUUAACAAUAAACGAAAAAAAACUCUAGAAAAUAAAACAUGUAGAUUACUCAAAAACAAUGUGAUUUUUAUAUGUAGUCAAAGAAAUUUUUGAAUAAAAACAUUGUUAGAGACACACUCAUAAUCAUGGAUAGAAUAUAUAUAUACCAUAAUCAAGCAUAAAACUUUAACACACAAUUGAGAAAAUAUAUUAAAUUACUACAUGUAUAAUCUCAUGCAAAUGCAAAAGAAGAAUAUAUAACUGAAAUGAAUACUAAAAGAGACAAUAGUACAAUGUCAUAAAAUAUAGUUGAUAACAAAUAAAAAUUUAAACACAUAGAAUUAUAAACAGAUGUCAAAUGUUAACAAAAUAAAUAUAAUCUUCAAAAAUAAUUAAUUCAUAAUAUGAUCUUAGAAAACAAAUAUUUAUUAUAUUCAAUUAAAAACAUUUUUUAAAAUAUUUUAUAAAAUUAAUAUAUGUUUUAAUUAACAUAAAAUGAUUUUGUUGUAAACUCACUACGGGCGGACCAACAUCUAGUUUUCUAUAUUUUCGGAUGCAAUUGUAUUCUUAAGCAAGAAGCGGCAUUAAAAUACAAGCCUAAGAUUUAUUUAUACGGAAAUAAACGUUGACGUGAAAAGCGGGAUUCCAUUUAUCAAAAAUUUUAAAGUACUUUUUAAAGUACUUGACUGACAUAUUUUUUAAUUCGUCGAAAACCUCUAUGUCCAUAUAUGUAGAACAUGUGUAAAGAAGUUAGUGAAAAGUAGGGGUGUUAAUUCGGGCUGGCCCGGCCCGGUCCGACCCAAACCCGCUAAGUCCGUAAAUAUUUGAGCCUGGCCCGGCCCGAAAAUAAUUUGGGCCUAGAAUUCAAAGCCCGGCCCGGUCCUUAUAGGGCUAUAGGGCUUUUCGGGCUUUUGAGGGCUUUUCGAAAAAUAAUUUGUCAUUGUCACUUCCAUCGUUUUAAUACAUGUGAAUUUUCAUUAAAAAAAGAGUUUCAUUUUAAAAAAAUAAAAAAUAUAUAAAGUGAGUUUAAA